CUAAGCUUCCGCUGUUACAUCUAAUGCUGAUUUACUCAGCUGUCUUUUUACCUGUCUCUGCCUGGGGAAAAGGAGCUGCUUUCAUUGAUGGUUAUUACGGAAGCACUUGGAAGCUGAAGAUCAGCCGGAGGACUCACUGCGCUUCCCCCCACUGCCUCCCCUCCCCCGACUUACUGCCAGAAACCAACUGACUUCCAAACUUGGCCGUCUGAAAAAGAAUGUUCUCUGAUUGGCAUUCCUGGAAGCAGAAAGCAAGGCAGCUCAAGUUUUGUUCUGUUACUCAGCAUGAAAAACUUCCCAGACAGCAGGAGGAGAGGGUGCACAAAUGCUUCCAGCUCCUUGUGAAGUCUUCUUUUCCAAGACUGUCGCGUGAACUUUGCCAUGCAACCUGGGGCAGGUCAAACUCCAAGGACCACUAUUUCCUUAUCUGUAAUG
This 435-nucleotide long non-coding RNA is filed under the name Equus caballus (horse). RNAcentral's name for it is "lncRNA (ENSECAG00000053566.1)". Lineage: Eukaryota; Metazoa; Chordata; Mammalia; Perissodactyla; Equidae. The record is from RNAcentral.